Molecule: long non-coding RNA, 1824 nt
Filed under: Papio anubis (olive baboon)
Lineage: Eukaryota; Metazoa; Chordata; Mammalia; Primates; Cercopithecidae
Description: lncRNA (ENSPANG00000047300.1)
Source: RNAcentral
CCUUGCCUUGCUAACUCCAGAAAAACUUCAGAGAUCAAGGUGAAAAGUCUUCAAUUUCCGAACAGCAAACCUACAGAUUUACCAUCUAAACCCACCUUUUCUUCCUUUUCCUCAUGUAAAGGGCAUCUUUCUUCUAAAGCUAAUCCUCCUCUCCCAGAAGUAUUUGAACAUGCCCAUCACUCCAGAUUUACAAAAACAAAACCUCCGAACCCCAUACAUUUCUCCUUCACUUACUGCCCUUUUCCCCUCACUUUGACAAUCUCAAGCAAAAUUCUUUCCCUGGCUUCCAUGUGCCCUGCUAGUUUCCCACCCCUCAUGACUCCUUUCCAACCUCUCUACUCAUCUCUUGAUUGUUGUCAUUCUACUCCUGGGCAGUCAGUGACUACUUAUAUAUUCAUGAAUCCCAAGUUUGUCCUGAAACCUCUCCUCCUUGUGUCAUUAUCACAGCUCUUACCAGGGUAGCCAGUCACUGGACUACAUAUCACGAUUUAUUAACUGCUCUGAAGCUUACCACAUAGAUGGGGAAACUGGGUUUUGGCUAUGUGCCUAAACCACAUAGCUUUCAAGAGGCAGAGCCAGGAUUUUAGUAUGAUUGUCUGCAGUCUUUGCAUAUACACCCAGAUAGUCUACAUAUCUAACUCAUUUUACCUGGAUAAACUUUACCCUGCCUCAUGUUCCCUCACAACCAAUGAGCCAGAGGUACAAACCAGAAACCCCGACAUUGUUUUCUCACUUAUUUCUACAGUCCAAUGCAUGAUCAAGACCACGUAAAUGUCAUUACCACUGCUACUUCCUUGGAUUAUACUGCCAACCCCGGCAUUCCCAGUCUUGAUCCCGUAAGUUUCAGUCUUACCAGUUCAAUGAUCUAAAUCUGAGAUAUCACUCCAUUUAAAAAAACCCUCAGUAGCUUCCUGUGUUCCCCUACAGGAUCUAACCACUAACCUACUUCCUUGUUGUUGUCCCAAGCCAGUCUACAUUAUCAAUUCAUUUAUUUCCUAUCUGAUGUCAUUCUUCCCCUUAUGCCACCUUCUCAUUUUAGCUGUAGAUUCCACUUUCUCUAAACAAUUCUCUACCUCCCAGAGUAGAACAGCUAAUCCCAAAUUGUCCCUAUUUUCCUCAUCACACCAUACCACUUACCUAUUAUCAACCAAAUCAAUGUGCUUUUUCCUUUACCAAAAGCUAGCUUUUGGUUAAAAUAUGAGCUUCAUUUAAAAUGUAUUCCUGGCCAGAAGCAGUGGCUCACACCUAUAAUCCCAGCACUUUGGAAGACCAAGGUGGACAGACCACCUGAGGUCAGGAUUGCCCCAAAUUACCUAAAUUUUGUGGUAGAGAGAACCAGAAGUCCAACCUACUAUAUACAAGGUAAGUAUCUUAUCUGAAACACUUGGGACCUAGGACUGUACAGGAAAUUCAUUUAUGCUUCAUAUCCACAUACCCUGAAGGUUAACUACUUGUUCCUCAGGGACAAUGAAGUGUUGUGUACCUGCAUUUUGACCCUGAAGGUUAACUACUUCUUCCUCAGGGACAGUGAAUAGUGUUGUGUACCUGCAUUUUGACUAUAAACCACCAUGAGGGUAGGCUAGGGAUUUUAUAGUUGUUGUGUCACAGCUCAAUUUCAGAGGCUGGAGCUUCUUGGAUUAGAAAUAUGCUCAACCUGUAAUUUUUAUACUUGCCACAUUUUCCUACUUUUUGUAAGAAAAUUUGCAGGCCGGGUACAGCGGCUCACACCUGUAAUCCCAGCACUUUGGGAGGCCAAGGCGGGUGUACCACCUGAGGUCAGGAGUUCGAGUCCAGCAUGGCCAACAGUCAAACCCCAUCUCUACU